CCAGGGGUUUGCACCCCUGGCUAUUAUAUGCCGCCCUUUCAGGGCU
RNAcentral lists this small RNA (46 nucleotides) under Bremerella volcania. Its description in RNAcentral is "Acido-Lenti-1". It matches the Rfam family "Acido-Lenti-1 RNA". Lineage: Bacteria; Pseudomonadati; Planctomycetota; Planctomycetia; Pirellulales; Pirellulaceae. The record is from RNAcentral.